ACAGCAGCCGCCGCGGUAAAACGAAGGGUGCAAGCGUUACUCGGAAUUACUGGGCGUAAAGCGUGCGUAGGUGGUGGUUUAAGUCCGUUGUGAAAGCCCUGGGCUCAACCUGGGAAUUGCAGUGGAUACUGGGUCACUAGAGUGUGGUAGAGGAUAGUGGAAUUUCCGGUGUAGCAGUGAAAUGCGUAGAGAUCGGAAGGAACAUCUGUGGCGAAGGCGACUAUCUGGGCCAACACUGACACUGAGGCACGAAAGCGUGGGGAGCAAACAGGAUUAGAUACCCGCGUAGUCCCUGUCUCUUAUAC
RNAcentral lists this ribosomal RNA (305 nucleotides) under uncultured bacterium. RNAcentral describes it as "partial 16S ribosomal RNA". It matches the Rfam family "Bacterial small subunit ribosomal RNA", at positions 508 to 807 of the family's 1533-position model. The record is from RNAcentral.